RNAcentral lists this ribosomal RNA (301 nucleotides) under uncultured bacterium. RNAcentral's name for it is "partial 16S ribosomal RNA". It matches the Rfam family "Bacterial small subunit ribosomal RNA", at positions 509 to 807 of the family's 1533-position model. The record is from RNAcentral.
CAGCAGCCACGGUAAUACGUAGGUGGCAAGCGUUGUCCGGAAUUAUUGGGCGUAAAGCGUGCGCAGGCGGUUAUAUAAGUCAGAUGUGAAAUCCCCGGGCUCAACCUGGGAACUGCAUUUGAGGCUGUAUGGCUAGAGUGUGUCAGAGGGGGGUAGAAUUCCACGUGUAGCAGUGAAAUGCGUAGAUAUGUGGAGGAAUACCGAUGGCGAAGGCAGCCUCCUGGGAUAACACUGACGCUCAUGCACGAAAGCGUGGGGAGCAAACAGGAUUAGAUACCCCUGUAGUCCCUGUCUCUUAUAC